GUAGGGAAUCUUCCGCAAUGGACGAAAGUCUGACGGAGCAACGCCGCGUGAGUGAAGAAGGUUUUCGGAUCGUAAAACUCUGUUGUUAGGGAAGAACAAGUCAGGUAGUAACUGACCUGACCUUGACGGUACCUAACCAGAAAGCCACGGCUAACUACGUGCCAGCAGCCGCGGUAAUACGUAGGUGGCAAGCGUUGUCCGGAUUUAUUGGGCGUAAAGCGCUCGCAGGCGGUCUUUUAAGUCUGAUGUGAAAGCCCACGGCUUAACCGUGGAGGGUCAUUGGAAACUGGAGGACUUGAGUGCAGAAGAGGAGAGUGGAAUUCCAUGUGUAGCGGUGAAAUGCGUAGAGAUAUGGAGGAACACCAGUGGCGAAGGCGACUCUCUGGUCUGUAACUGACGCUGAGGAGCGAAAGCGUGGGUAGCGAACAGGAUUAGAUACCCUUGUAGUCC
This 450-nucleotide ribosomal RNA is filed under the name uncultured bacterium. RNAcentral describes it as "bacterial SSU rRNA". It matches the Rfam family "Bacterial small subunit ribosomal RNA", at positions 354 to 796 of the family's 1533-position model. The record is from RNAcentral.